CUCUGCCCCUGAUGAAAUUAGUAAUUGGAACCAUACGUAGAACAUUAGCAUGGCUGGCCCUACACAAGGAUGACUAUACAAAUCUAGAGAUGAUCCAAAUUUUU
Small nuclear RNA from Nymphaea colorata (pocket water lily), 104 nucleotides. Lineage: Eukaryota; Viridiplantae; Streptophyta; Magnoliopsida; Nymphaeales; Nymphaeaceae. The record is from RefSeq and is a predicted model, not a curated record.